Molecule: non-coding RNA, 1699 nt
Organism: Equus caballus (horse)
Lineage: Eukaryota; Metazoa; Chordata; Mammalia; Perissodactyla; Equidae
Source: RefSeq, a predicted model, not a curated record
CUCCCGAGGAGCGUCGGGACCGCCACUGCGCGUCCGUCCCCUCCACCACACCUGCUCCCACGACUCUCCACGCAGGAAUUAAAUGCGUCGGAGUGAGCCCCCGCCCCGCGAAUCUGCAGGCGGCCGGGGCGCGCACUCACGGGCGCGGGCCCCGACCCCAGCCCCAGACAGUGGGCCCGGGCGCCCCGGGCGUUGCUUGGCAACGGGGCCGCGAGGGGAUUUCCCGUGCUCCGCCCCGUGACGCCUCGGGGGACACGCACUUCCUGCGUCCCCGGAAGUGGCGUGAGCGCCAGGCCGGCCCGGUGGAGGCGGAAGUGGAGCCGCCCCGAGGUGUCUCCGUGCCGCCCGCUCCUCAGCCCAGCGGUGCCUCGGCCCAUGGCCGCGUAUCCGUACCGCCCGGGCCCCGGGGCCGGCCCUGCGGCGGGCGCGGCCCUGCCGGACCAGAGCUUCCUGUGGAACGUCUUCCAGAGGGUUGAUAAAGACAGGAGCGGGGUGAUCUCGGACAACGAGCUUCAGCAAGCACUAUCCAAUGGCACGUGGACUCCAUUUAAUCCCGUGACUGUCAGGUCGAUCAUAUCUAUGUUUGACCGGGAGAACAAGGCCGGCGUGAACUUCAGCGAGUUCACUGGCGUCUGGAAGUACAUCACAGACUGGCAGAACGUCUUUCGCACCUACGACCGGGACAAUUCUGGGAUGAUUGACAAGAACGAGCUCAAGCAGGCGCUCUCAGGUUUCGGGUACCGGCUCUCUGACCAGUUUCACGACAUCCUCAUUCGAAAGUUUGACAGACAAGGACGGGGGCAGAUCGCCUUUGACGACUUCAUCCAGGGCUGCAUCGUCUUGCAGGAGAAGGGUAAAUUUUCCAUUGUGAGCUUCCCUGUGCCCUGCCUUCGUGUGUGAGCCUUUUCUUUGAUGUCUGUCCCACACCCUCAUGAGUUCACCCCCAAGGGAACCAAGUGCAGAACGUAGGGAGCCUGCUCAGAGACGCCCACUUAAGGUGGAGGGCAGGAGGGAUCGGACUCGCCUUGGCUGUUCCCACGCAGGCCCCUGCUCCUGUUCCAGAUCAGUAAAUGUGAAGUCCCUCUGACUGGCCUGCUAGCUUCAGUCAUCGUGAUUUCUUACUGAGGUUGACGGAUAUAUUCAGACGCUACGAUACGGAUCAGGAUGGCUGGAUUCAGGUCUCAUAUGAACAGUAUCUUUCCAUGGUCUUCAGCAUCGUAUAACCCUGGCCUUUGGCAAAUAGCAACGUAACUUACGGAAAAAAAGACAUUUUCAAAUGCCAAAUCUUUUAACCUUUAAUUAAAUGGAACAGAAACGGUUAGAUACUGUUCUUCCUUUAGAUUUUAUAUAAUAUUUGGGAAUCCAACUGUACAUAUGUGGAUAAGCAGAUUAAUGUUUUGCGAUUGUAACAAUAGUUAAAUCAUUAUUCAGAUAGAGACAUUUGAUUUGGUGACUGUUUAAUUGUGCCAUGAAGUCGGAUAGAAUAAUGUUUCACGUAUCCUGCAUGCAGAAAAUGCAUCAUGUGCUUUUCUAGAUAGCUCUAGUUCUGUAGUGCAAAUACUUUUAUUAGCCAAUAGGAAUUUUAAAAUAAUAUGAAACUUACACAGAGAGCUUUUCAUGUGCCUUUUUUAAAAAGGGGUUUAUUGUAUUCAUUUGGAUAUGCAAUGUAAGCAAUAAAGCACACGUGCCCCUUGUCUCA